GACGAACGCUGGCGGCGUGCUUAACACAUGCAAGUCGAACGGAAAGGCCCUGCUUUUGUGGUGUGCUCGAGUGGCGAACGGGUGAGUAACACGUGAGUAACCUGCCCUUGACUUUGGGAUAACUUCAGGAAACUGGGGCUAAUACCGUAUAGGAUCUCCUGCUGCAUGGUGGGGGUUGGAAAGUUUCGGCGGGUGGGGAUGGACUCGCGGCUUAUCAGCUUGUUGGUGGGGUAGUGGCUUACCAAGGCUUUGACGGGUAGCCGGCCUGAGAGGGUGACCGGCCACAUUGGGACUGAGAUACGGCCCAGACUCCUACGGGAGGCAGCAGUGGGGAAUAUUGCACAAUGGGAGGAAGCCUGAUGCAGCAACGCCGCGUGCGGGAUGACGGCCUUCAGGUUGUAAACCGCUUUCGCCUGUGACGAAGCGUGAGUGACGGUAAUGGGUAAAGAAGCACCGGCUAACUACGUG
This 468-nucleotide ribosomal RNA is filed under the name uncultured bacterium. Its description in RNAcentral is "partial 16S ribosomal RNA". It matches the Rfam family "Bacterial small subunit ribosomal RNA", at positions 28 to 507 of the family's 1533-position model. The record is from RNAcentral.